Molecule: ribosomal RNA, 468 nt
Filed under: uncultured bacterium
Lineage: Bacteria
Description: partial 16S ribosomal RNA
Rfam family: Bacterial small subunit ribosomal RNA
Source: RNAcentral
GACGAACGCUGGCGGCGUGCUUAACACAUGCAAGUCGAACGGUGAUGCCCCAGCUUGCUGGAGUGGAUCAGUGGCGAACGGGUGAGUAACACGUGAGCAACCUGCCCCAGACUCUGGAAUAAGCGCUGGAAACGGCGUCUAAUACUGGAUACGAAACUGGCCCGCAUGGGCAUGGUUUGGAAAGUUUUUCGGUUUGGGAUGGGCUCGCGGCCUAUCAGCUUGUUGGUGAGGUAAUGGCUCACCAAGGCGACGACGGGUAGCCGGCCUGAGAGGGCGACCGGCCACACUGGGACUGAGACACGGCCCAGACUCCUACGGGAGGCAGCAGUGGGGAAUAUUGCACAAUGGGCGAAAGCCUGAUGCAGCGACGCCGCGUGGGGGAUGACGGCCUUCGGGUUGUAAACCUCUUUCAGCAGGGAAGAAGCGAAAGUGACGGUACCUGCAGAAGAAGCACCGGCUAACUACGUG